UGAAUAUACCGGUUCUCGUUAGAUCACCGAAGUUAAGCAUCAUUGGGCGCGGUCAAAUGAUGGGUGACCACCUGGGAACACUGCGUGCCGUU
RNAcentral lists this ribosomal RNA (92 nucleotides) under Caerostris darwini. The record is from RNAcentral. Lineage: Eukaryota; Metazoa; Arthropoda; Arachnida; Araneae; Araneidae.